This 2781-nucleotide ribosomal RNA is filed under the name Klebsiella pneumoniae. RNAcentral's name for it is "23S ribosomal RNA". It matches the Rfam family "Bacterial large subunit ribosomal RNA". Lineage: Bacteria; Pseudomonadati; Pseudomonadota; Gammaproteobacteria; Enterobacterales; Enterobacteriaceae. The record is from RNAcentral.
UUAAGCGACUAAGCGUACACGGUGGAUGCCCUGGCAGUCAGAGGCGAUGAAGGACGUGCUAAUCUGCGAAAAGCGUCGGUAAGGUGAUAUGAACCGUUAUAACCGGCGAUGUCCGAAUGGGGAAACCCAGUGCAAUUCGUUGCACUAUCGUUAACUGAAUACAUAGGUUAACGAGGCGAACCGGGGGAACUGAAACAUCUAAGUACCCCGAGGAAAAGAAAUCAACCGAGAUUCCCCCAGUAGCGGCGAGCGAACGGGGAGCAGCCCAGAGUCUGAAUCAGCUUGUGUGUUAGUGGAACGGUCUGGAAAGUCCGACGGUACAGGGUGAUAGUCCCGUACACCAAAAUGCACAGGCUGUGAACUCGAAGAGUAGGGCGGGACACGUGGUAUCCUGUCUGAAUAUGGGGGGACCAUCCUCCAAGGCUAAAUACUCCUGACUGACCGAUAGUGAACCAGUACCGUGAGGGAAAGGCGAAAAGAACCCCGGCGAGGGGAGUGAAAAAGAACCUGAAACCGUGUACGUACAAGCAGUGGGAGCACCUUCGGGUGUGACUGCGUACCUUUUGUAUAAUGGGUCAGCGACUUAUAUUCUGUAGCAAGGUUAACCGUAUAGGGGAGCCGCAGGGAAACCGAGUCUUAACUGGGCGUUAAGUUGCAGGGUAUAGACCCGAAACCCGGUGAUCUAGCCAUGGGCAGGUUGAAGGUUGGGUAACACUAACUGGAGGACCGAACCGACUAAUGUUGAAAAAUUAGCGGAUGACUUGUGGCUGGGGGUGAAAGGCCAAUCAAACCGGGAGAUAGCUGGUUCUCCCCGAAAGCUAUUUAGGUAGCGCCUCGUGAAUUCAUCUUCGGGGGUAGAGCACUGUUUCGGCUAGGGGGUCAUCCCGACUUACCAACCCGAUGCAAACUACGAAUACCGAAGAAUGUUAUCACGGGAGACACACGGCGGGUGCUAACGUCCGUCGUGAAGAGGGAAACAACCCAGACCGCCAGCUAAGGUCCCAAAGUCAUGGUUAAGUGGGAAACGAUGUGGGAAGGCACAGACAGCCAGGAUGUUGGCUUAGAAGCAGCCAUCAUUUAAAGAAAGCGUAAUAGCUCACUGGUCGAGUCGGCCUGCGCGGAAGAUGUAACGGGGCUAAACCAUGCACCGAAGCUGCGGCAGCGACACUAUGUGUUGUUGGGUAGGGGAGCGUUCUGUAAGCCUGCGAAGGUGNUGCUGGAGGUAUCAGAAGUGCGAAUGCUGACAUAAGUAACGAUAAAGCGGGUGAAAAGCCCGCUCGCCGGAAGACCAAGGGUUCCUGUCCAACGUUAAUCGGGGCAGGGUGAGUCGACCCCUAAGGCGAGGCCGAAAGGCGUAGUCGAUGGGAAACAGGUUAAUAUUCCUGUACUUGGUGUUACUGCGAAGGGGGGACGGAGAAGGCUAUGUUAGCCGGGCGACGGUUGUCCCGGUUUAAGCAUGUAGGCUGGUUGUCCAGGCAAAUCCGGAUAAUCAAGGCUGAGGUGUGAUGACGAGGCACUACGGUGCUGAAGUAACAAAUGCCCUGCUUCCAGGAAAAGCCUCUAAGCAUCAGGUAACAUCAAAUCGUACCCCAAACCGACACAGGUGGUCAGGUAGAGAAUACCAAGGCGCUUGAGAGAACUCGGGUGAAGGAACUAGGCAAAAUGGUGCCGUAACUUCGGGAGAAGGCACGCUGGUGUGUAGGUGAAGCCCCUGCGGGUGGAGCUGAGACCAGUCGAAGAUACCAGCUGGCUGCAACUGUUUAUUAAAAACACAGCACUGUGCAAACACGAAAGUGGACGUAUACGGUGUGACGCCUGCCCGGUGCCGGAAGGUUAAUUGAUGGGGUUAUCCGUAAGGAGAAGCUCUUGAUCGAAGCCCCGGUAAACGGCGGCCGUAACUAUAACGGUCCUAAGGUAGCGAAAUUCCUUGUCGGGUAAGUUCCGACCUGCACGAAUGGCGUAAUGAUGGCCAGGCUGUCUCCACCCGAGACUCAGUGAAAUUGAACUCGCUGUGAAGAUGCAGUGUACCCGCGGCAAGACGGAAAGACCCCGUGAACCUUUACUAUAGCUUGACACUGAACAUUGAGCCUUGAUGUGUAGGAUAGGUGGGAGGCUUUGAAGCGUGGACGCCAGUCUGCGUGGAGCCAACCUUGAAAUACCACCCUUUAAUGUUUGAUGUUCUAACGUUGGCCCCUUACCGGGGUUGCGGACAGUGUCUGGUGGGUAGUUUGACUGGGGCGGUCUCCUCCCAAAGCGUAACGGAGGAGCACGAAGGUUAGCUAAUCCUGGUCGGACAUCAGGAGGUUAGUGCAAUGGCAUAAGCUAGCUUGACUGCGAGCGUGACGGCGCGAGCAGGUGCGAAAGCAGGUCAUAGUGAUCCGGUGGUUCUGAAUGGAAGGGCCAUCGCUCAACGGAUAAAAGGUACUCCGGGGAUAACAGGCUGAUACCGCCCAAGAGUUCAUAUCGACGGCGGUGUUUGGCACCUCGAUGUCGGCUCAUCACAUCCUGGGGCUGAAGUAGGUCCCAAGGGUAUGGCUGUUCGCCAUUUAAAGUGGUACGCGAGCUGGGUUUAGAACGUCGUGAGACAGUUCGGUCCCUAUCUGCCGUGGGCGCUGGAGAAUUGAGGGGGGCUGCUCCUAGUACGAGAGGACCGGAGUGGACGCAUCACUGGUGUUCGGGUUGUCAUGCCAAUGGCACUGCCCGGUAGCUAAAUGCGGAAGAGAUAAGUGCUGAAAGCAUCUAAGCACGAAACUUGCCCCGAGAUGAGUUCUCCCUGAGACU